RNAcentral lists this non-coding RNA (958 nucleotides) under Acheilognathus intermedia (Korean slender bitterling). RNAcentral's name for it is "small subunit ribosomal RNA". It matches the Rfam family "Bacterial small subunit ribosomal RNA". The record is from RNAcentral. Lineage: Eukaryota; Metazoa; Chordata; Actinopteri; Cypriniformes; Acheilognathidae.
CAAAGGCAUGGUCCUGGCCUUAUUAUCAGCUCUAACUCAACUUACACAUGCAAGUAUCCGCACCCCCGUGAGUACGCCCUCGACCCCCCGCCCGGGGAUCAGGAGCGAGCAUCAGGCGCACAAAUCCUAGCCCAAGACGCCCAGCCAAGCCACACCCCCAAGGGAAUUCAGCAGUGAUAAACAUUAAGCCAUGAGUGAAAACUCGACUCAGUCAGGGUUAACAGGGCCGGUAAAACUCGUGCCAGCUACCGCGGUUAAACGAGAGGCCCCAGUUGAUAAUACCGCGGCGUAAAGGGUGGUUAAGGGCUCCAACCAAUAAAGCUAAAUAGCCCUCCGGCCGUCAUACGCUUCCAGGCGCUAGAGACCCAAUUUUACGAAAGUAGCUUUAGUAACACUCACCUGACCCCACGAAAGCUAAGAAACAAACUGGGAUUAGAUACCCCACUAUGCUUAGCCAUAAACCCAGACAUCGAAAUACAAUUGUAUGUCCGCCAGGGCACUACGAGCAUUAGCUUGAAACCCAAAGGACCUGACGGUGCCUCAGACCCCCCUAGAGGAGCCUGUCCUAGAACCGAUAACCCCCGUUAAACCUCACCACUUCUAGUCUCCCCAGCCUAUAUACCGCCGUCGCCAGCUUACCCUGUGAGGGAAGCAAAGUAAGCAAAAUGGGCACAACCCAGAACGUCAGGUCGAGGUGUAGCGCAUGAAGUGGGAAGAGAUGAGCUACAUUUUCUAUCGCAGAAUACUACGAAUGCGCAACAUGAAAUAGUGCUUGAAGGAGGAUUUAGAAGUAAAAAGGAAGAAGAGUGUCCUUUUGAACCCGGCUCUGAGGCGCGUACACACCGCCCGUCACUCUCCCCUGUCAAAAUGCAACAAACUUACCUAACCACAAAGCGCUGACAAGGGGAGGCAAGUCGUAACAUGGUAAGUGUACCGGAAGGUGCACUUGGAUAAAACC